GCGCGAUUAGCUCAGCGGGAGAGCGCUUCCCUGACACGGAAGACACGGAAGAGGUCACUGGUUCAAUCCCAGUAUCGCGCA
Molecule: transfer RNA, 81 nt
Filed under: Streptomyces aurantiacus JA 4570
Lineage: Bacteria; Bacillati; Actinomycetota; Actinomycetes; Kitasatosporales; Streptomycetaceae
Rfam family: tRNA
About the family: Transfer RNA (tRNA) molecules are approximately 80 nucleotides in length.
Source: Rfam by way of RNAcentral